RNAcentral lists this ribosomal RNA (253 nucleotides) under uncultured bacterium. RNAcentral describes it as "partial 16S ribosomal RNA". It matches the Rfam family "Bacterial small subunit ribosomal RNA", at positions 524 to 776 of the family's 1533-position model. The record is from RNAcentral.
UACAGAGGGGGCGAGCGUUGUUCGGAAUUAUUGGGCGUAAAGGGCUCGUAGGCGGUUUGUCGCGUCGGGAGUGAAAACUCAGGGCUUAACCCUGAGCCUGCUUCCGAUACGGGCAGACUAGAGGUAUGCAGGGGAGAACGGAAUUCCUGGUGUAGCGGUGAAAUGCGCAGAUAUCAGGAGGAACACCGGUGGCGAAGGCAGGUCUCUGGGCCACUACUGACGCUGAGAAGCGAAAGCAUGGGGAGCGAACAGG